This is a long non-coding RNA of Coffea arabica (coffee), 1283 nucleotides long. RefSeq lists it as uncharacterized. The record is from RefSeq and is a predicted model, not a curated record. NCBI's taxonomy places the organism in Eukaryota, Viridiplantae, Streptophyta, Magnoliopsida, Gentianales, Rubiaceae.
UCAGAUCAAAACAUUCCUCUUUUCUUCUCAUUCUGGCCGAGCUGCAGCUGAGGCAAAACAUCUUCAAAUUUCACAAACUUCACCUCAAAAAUCUUGCUCAAACCUCCAUAGAUUCACACCAAAUUUCACAUACACUUAGCUCUACACUUGGACAACACUUUGAGCUGUAAAAGGGAGGAGCUUUCACGGUUUUCUUCAGGCUUCAAAGGGACCGAAAAUUCUGUUUAGACAAACCAUCAAAGUAGGCACGCACGAGGACCUCCAAGAGGACCCUACCGUGGAAGUUUGAACUCUCCCUCCAACCUACUUGCUUGCAUAACUGGUUUGAACUCGGAGGUAAAAUGAAAAAGCCCUCUUGAUGUACUUUUGUUUAGGGCUUGUUAUUACUUUUGGUUAUGCCUUUGGUUUUGGAAUUGUACUUUUGGUAUGGAAAUGUGACCCUGAGAACUGUCACAGUUGGUAUCAGAGCCAUAUGCCGACAGUUGGGACCUUAAGUCCUUCGUCUGGAAAAGCCCCGAGCCUCUCGUUCGUGAAGAGUCACGAAGCGAAACUCUCCGUAGGGGAUGCCCGCGUGCGGGUGGCAAGCUGAUAGGUACCCCGUGAUGUGACCCUUUGGACGAAAUGUAAUCUGUAUUCUGACGUGUGGUUUGGAGAAUGGAUGACUAUUAUUAAGUUUGAAUACUUCCGCAUUUAUUGUAUCUAAGUUAUUGGCUUGUGUUGUGUGAUCCGACUAUAAGUUGAAUGGAAUUGUUUGAGUCCUGGCGAGAGCUAGGCAGGCGUCCCGCGAAUACCCUUUGGUUCGCCUUAGGGAGAAGUGGGGCGUCACAGUUCUCCUUCUCUGGAGAAACUGAGGCGGCAUUAUCACAUUGAUUACGGAACGGGGAAGAAGAGAUCAAAGAAAAAUCUAGAGAAAUUGAAUGAGUGCAGUCAUUGUGGCAAUCUGUUUGACAAAUCACGGCUGGAUUCUCACGCCUGUAACCGUCAACUUAAGCUUGGAGGAGUUUCAUUUGAUCCCUCCUACUAUGGACACAAUGAAGAUGAUACCUUAAAGGCUUCAAACCGAAGCCCAAGGGACAAGCACAAGUCAAAGUCAAAGUCCAAGCCUCCAAGCCCCCAAGCCCAAAGCUAGAGCCACAGGAGGUCUAACUAGGAUUCUUACUGAUAGACUCUAGAGAUAUUAUGUGUUGGCUGAUAGGCUCUUAUCUCUAGGAGUAGAUUAGGAGUGGCUGAUAUUUUGUGUGAACUAUUUAGUACAUGUUAUCUGAUUGCACUACGCUCCCAAA